This 1374-nucleotide ribosomal RNA is filed under the name uncultured bacterium. Its description in RNAcentral is "partial 16S ribosomal RNA". It matches the Rfam family "Bacterial small subunit ribosomal RNA". The record is from RNAcentral.
UUUGAUCCUGGCUCAGGAUGAACGCUGGCGUCGUGCUUAACACAUGCAAGUCGAACGAAGCAGGAGGGUGCUUGCACCUUCCUGCUGAGUGGCGGACGGGUGAGUAACACGUGGAUAAUCUGCCCUGCACAGGGGGACAACAGCUAGAAAUGGCUGCUAAUACCGCAUAAGCCUACAGCCUCGCAUGAGGGAGUAGGAAAAGAAAUUCGGUGCAGGAUGAGUCCGCGUCUGAUUAGCUAGUUGGAGGGGUAAAAGCCCACCAAGGCAACGAUCAGUAGCCGGCCUGAGAGGGCGACCGGCCACAUUGGGACUGAGACACGGCCCAAACUCCUACGGGAGGCAGCAGUGGGGAAUAUUGCACAAUGGGGGAAACCCUGAUGCAGCGACGCCGCGUGAGCGAGGAAGUAUUUCGGUAUGUAAAGCUCUAUCAGCAGGGACGAAAAAAGACGGUACCUGACUAAGAAGCCCCGGCUAACUACGUGCCAGCAGCCGCGGUAAUACGUAGGGGGCAAGCGUUAUCCGGAUUUACUGGGUGUAAAGGGAGCGUAGACGGCAAGGCAAGCCAGAAGUGAAAGGGCAGGGCUCAACCCUGUACAUGCUUUUGGAACUGUGGUGCUAGAGUGCAGGAGAGGUAAGUGGAAUUCCUAGUGUAGCGGUGAAAUGCGUAGAUAUAUGGAAGAACACCAGUGGCGAAGGCGGCUGUCUGGUCUGCAACUGACGCUGAGGCUCGAAAGCAUGGGUAGCGAACAGGAUUAGAUACCCUGGUAGUCCAUGCCGUAAACGAUGAGUGCUAGGUGUUGGAGGGUUUCCGCCCUUCAGUGCCGGAGCUAACGCAUUAAGCACUCCGCCUGGGGAGUACGACCGCAAGGUUGAAACUCAAAGGAAUUGACGGGGGCCCGCACAAGCGGUGGAGCAUGUGGUUUAAUUCGAAGCUACGCGAAGAACCUUACCAGGUCUUGACAUCUUGCGCUAACCUUAGAGAUAAGGCGUUCCCUUCGGGGACGCAAUGACAGGUGGUGCAUGGUCGUCGUCAGCUCGUGUCGUGAGAUGUUGGGUUAAGUCCCGCAACGAGCGCAACCCUUGUUACUAGUUGCCAGCAUUAAGUUGGGCACUCUAGUGAGACUGCCGGUGACAAACCGGAGGAAGGUGGGGACGACGUCAGAUCAUCAUGCCCCUUAUGACCUGGGCUACACACGUGCUACAAUGGACGGUACAACGAGUGGCAAACUCGCGAGAGCAAGCUAAUCUCUUAAAGCCGUUCUCAGUUCGGACUGUAGGUUGCAACUCGCCUACACGAAGUCGGAAUCGCCUAGUAAUCGCGGAUCAGCAUCCCGCGGUGAAUACGUUCCCGGGCCUUGUACACACCGCCCGUCA